This 75-nucleotide transfer RNA is filed under the name Fusobacterium sp. RNAcentral describes it as "tRNA-Thr". It matches the Rfam family "tRNA". From Rfam's summary of the family: Transfer RNA (tRNA) molecules are approximately 80 nucleotides in length. Their secondary structure includes four short double-helical elements and three loops (D, anti-codon, and T loops). Further hydrogen bonds mediate the characteristic L-shaped molecular structure. tRNAs have two regions of fundamental functional importance: the anti-codon, which is responsible for specific mRNA codon recognition, and the 3' end, to which the tRNAs corresponding amino acid is attached (by aminoacyl-tRNA synthetases). tRNAs cope with the degeneracy of the genetic code in two manners: having more than one tRNA (with a specific anti-codon) for a particular amino acid; and 'wobble' base-pairing, i.e. permitting non-standard base-pairing at the 3rd anti-codon position. RNAcentral also lists the same sequence under 2 other names. Lineage: Bacteria; Fusobacteriati; Fusobacteriota; Fusobacteriia; Fusobacteriales; Fusobacteriaceae. The record is from RNAcentral.
GCCACUUUAGCUUAGAGGGAAAGCCCUGUCAUGGUAAGGCAGUUUAGGUUGGUUCGAUUCCGACAAGUGGCACCA